UGGGGAAUUUUGGACAAUGGGCGCAAGCCUGAUCCAGCCAUUCCGCGUGGGUGAAGAAGGCCUUCGGGUUGUAAAGCCCUUUUGUCAGGGAGCAAAUCCUGCGUGUGAACAAUGCGUGGGGAUGAGAGUACCUGAAGAAUAAGCACCGGCUAACUACGUGCCAGCAGCCGCGGUAAUACGUAGGGUGCAAGCGUUAAUCGGAAUUACUGGGCGUAAAGCGUGCGCAGGCGGGCUUUUAAGUCAGAUGUGAAAUCCCCGGGCUUAACCUGGGAAUGGCGUUUGAAACUGGAAGUCUUGAGUGUAGCAGAGGGGGGUGGAAUUCCACGUGUAGCAGUGAAAUGCGUAGAGAUGUGGAGGAACACCGAUGGCGAAGGCAGCCCCCUGGGCUAACACUGACGCU
RNAcentral lists this ribosomal RNA (400 nucleotides) under uncultured bacterium. RNAcentral's name for it is "partial 16S ribosomal RNA". It matches the Rfam family "Bacterial small subunit ribosomal RNA", at positions 355 to 747 of the family's 1533-position model. The record is from RNAcentral.